RNAcentral lists this ribosomal RNA (275 nucleotides) under uncultured bacterium. RNAcentral's name for it is "partial 16S ribosomal RNA". It matches the Rfam family "Bacterial small subunit ribosomal RNA", at positions 338 to 612 of the family's 1533-position model. The record is from RNAcentral.
CCUACGGGUGGCUGCAGUGGGGAAUAUUGGGCAAUGGAGGAAACUCUGACCCAGCCAUGCCGCGUGCGGGACGAAGGCGCACAGCGUUGUAAACCGCUUUUCUCCGGGGAUAAGGUUACCUUAGGGGCAAAUUGAAGGUACUGGAGGAAUCAGCACCGGCAAACUACGUGCCAGCAGCCGCGGUAAUACGUAGGGUGCGAGCGUUGUCCGGAUUUACUGGGUUUAAAGGGUGCGUAGGCGGGCUGUUAAGUCUGGGAUGAAAUUAUCACGCUCAA